UACGUAGGGGGCAAGCGUUGUCCGGAAUCAUUGGGCGUAAAGAGCGUGUAGGCGGCCAGAAAAGUCCGCUGUGAAAACUCGAGGCUCAACUUCGAGCUGUCGGUGGAAACUUUCUGGCUAGAGUCCGGAAGAGGAGAAUGGAAUUCCUGGUGUAGCGGUGAAAUGCGCAGAUAUCAGGAGGAACACCGGUGGCGAAGGCGGGUCUCUGGGCAGUAACUGACGCUGAGGAGCGAAAGCGUGGGGAGCGAACAGG
This 253-nucleotide ribosomal RNA is filed under the name uncultured bacterium. Its description in RNAcentral is "partial 16S ribosomal RNA". It matches the Rfam family "Bacterial small subunit ribosomal RNA", at positions 524 to 776 of the family's 1533-position model. The record is from RNAcentral.